Molecule: long non-coding RNA, 2905 nt
Filed under: Brassica napus (rape)
Lineage: Eukaryota; Viridiplantae; Streptophyta; Magnoliopsida; Brassicales; Brassicaceae
Description: long non-coding RNA (BNAP_LNC020826)
Source: RNAcentral
AUUCGCUUCGUUCGACCCGGUUCGAUCUCACCAGCCGGUAUAAAAAUGAACCCGAUCCGGUUACCGUAGUAGAAGAGCUGGAUUCUGUUGUUGUAAUGAGAGAACGCGGCGCGGUUAGGGUUUCUAACGACGGAUAGUUGCGAGUAGGUGAAGCUGAGGGAGCUGUUGGCGACGGAGAAGGACGGGACCUUGACGUUUGUGACGGAUAUCUCCGGAUCUCUAGGUCUGAACACCGUGAGGUAGACGGUAACGGAGGCGAUGAUAAGGAAGACGAUGAAGAUGGCGGCGACGGCGCAUGAAGCGAGGUUUGUUUGGCUAGACGAAGAAGAAUAAGGCUUUGCCAUGCUGGAGAGAGGGAUGUUUGUUUGGUAGAGAUGUUUUAAGUGGUCUCUGGUAGGGAUAAGAGUUUUUAACUUUUUUAGGGAAAGCGAGCGGUGUAAAGCAAAAGGAUAUUUGUUUGGCCAUGGGGAUAACGUUGCAUUAAGGAAACUGAUGUGGCCUUAGUUAAGCAUGGGCAUCUUACUAAUUUUUCAUAUCGGAACCGAACCCAAACCGGAUGUAUGUCAUUUGAUAUGUGAAUAUGAUCACACUUCUAAUUUCCCAAGCAGAGACCAGUGGCGGAGCCAUGUUGUGUGAGAGGGAGGCAUUUGCCCCCAACAACUUUUUAAAAUUUCAUGUUAAUUAUUGAAUAAAUUUAAUAUGCCCCUAUUGUUUUUAGCAAAUAUACUUUUAAUCCAUUGACCAAUUUUACUUAUGCCCCCAACAAAUAAAUUAUCUGACUCCGCCCCUGUGUGCGCUCCAGAAAACCUUUGUAAUCUAGUCAUUUCUUUGUUAUGUUUAUGUGAUAUUUGUUGGUUUUUAACUUUGGCUACGAGGGAUAUUGUUCAUCUCACCAGCUUCUGGCGCCGGAAAAAAUAUCUUUACAGGCUUUGUAUAUGUCACUGUUUAAUUUUAUAAAAUUUCAUAAGAUAACAAAAAAAUAAAGAAGCAAGAUAUCUUUUUACUCAAUGCUCUAUAAAUAUAUAAAUACAAAUAAUAUAAAUAAAAAAAAACAUAAAAAAAAAAUUGUUCUUUAACGACUAUCUUUUAAACUCUUGUUUGUUUCUCCUCUCGUAAUGUUUUGCCAUUGAAUCUAAGCUUAAUUAUUGGAAAAAAAUGGUCAGGUUGUGAGGUUUACAACCUUGGAACGGGUAAUGGAACAUCGGUCCUAGAAAUGGUUGCUGCCUUUGAGAAGGCAUCCGGAAAGGUAAACCAUUGAUUGGUUUGUUUAUAUAGAACAAUGCUCUAACCAAAAAGAUCAUUGGUUUUAAUAUUUUUGAUUAUUUCCGAUUAGAAAAUCCCGUUGGUGAUGGCCGGACGACGUCCUGGAGACGCUGAGAUUGUUUACGCCUCAACAGAGGAAGCAGAACGCGAGCUUAAUUGGAAGUAAGUUCAUUUUUUUUGUUUUGUCAACAGAGUAGAUGAGCUGUAUUGAAAUGGAUUUUAGUAAAAUAAAAAUGCACACCCCCCACAUUUGAGUCUAAUUAUUUAGUUUUAUACUUGUUUGGUAUGGUAUGAAUGCAGGGCUAAGUAUGGGAUCGAAGAGAUGUGUACGGAUCUAUGGAACUGGGCCAGCAAUAAUCCUUAUGGCUACAACUCCUCCAAUGGCUCCUCUUAACUCUCGUUUUUUCUUUUUCUUGCAUUAUUUAUUUUUAUAAUCAUAUGAAAAAUGCUGAUCAAGAACCAAAAUUUUAGAAGCAAGUGGGGAUAUCACUAAUUUUGAUAAUAGCUACUCUUUGAAUCUUUGAUAUUUAAAUUUCAUUAUUUUUUAGUUCCCUGAAAGUCGUCUUUCAUUAUUCCAGUUUCUACACGUACUAUUACUGUAAACAUGUAAAAGGGGAUGAUGAAUCUCAUUAUAUCUUUAUCUUAUUAAGUAAUCGACACAUUUCGUUUUUCUUUUUCAUUAGUCCAAUUUGACACCGAAGUUAAACUCCAUUUAAGUUGUAAGUCAAAAGUAGCAAAAUCUAAAAGUACAAUCUCAUGUAAGUCAUAAGUAGCAAAAUCUUGAAAGUACAAACCCUCCCUCAUGUUACAUUUUGAAGUACAAAAUCUAAUGUAUUUAUAUUUGCAGCUUUCUAACUUCAGGAUUCAGACAAGAACCCAAGAAGGGUCGUUUUACAUGUGUUUUUAAAUAAACACUUUUACAUUGCUACAAAAGGGUUGGUAUCAACAACGGACGGCCACGAUCGAUCCAUCACUAGUAGAAAUUGCGAUCCUGCAACUUGAUUUUGCCACGAUUUGAUGCGUGAACAGACCAAGAACUCGAACCCGACCCGCCAUCUCCAGCUUCGACUCUAUCUCCACAGUAGACCCGACCCGACUAUCCGCCUCCACUAACCCGGUUCCAAAAUCAUCAGCGGAGAUUCGAGAAGCUGAAGCCGCUAGAGGAAAAGACUCCACGGAGAAACUAGCGGCCAUUCGCUUCGUUCGACCCGGUUCGAUCUCACCAGCCGGUAUAAAAAUGAACCCGAUCCGGUUACCGUAGUAGAAGAGCUGGAUUCUGUUGUUGUAAUGAGAGAACGCGGCGCGGUUAGGGUUUCUAACGACGGAUAGUUGCGAGUAGGUGAAGCUGAGGGAGCUGUUGGCGACGGAGAAGGACGGGACCUUGACGUUUGUGACGGAUAUCUCCGGAUCUCUAGGUCUGAACACCGUGAGGUAGACGGUAACGGAGGCGAUGAUAAGGAAGACGAUGAAGAUGGCGGCGACGGCGCAUGAAGCGAGGUUUGUUUGGCUAGACGAAGAAGAAUAAGGCUUUGCCAUGCUGGAGAGAGGGAUGUUUGUUUGGUAGAGAUGUUUUAAGUGGUCUCUGGUAGGGAUAAGAGUUUUUAACUUUUUUAGGGAAAGCGAGCGGUGUAAAGCAAAAGGA